AUUGAACGCUGGCGGCAGGCCUAACACAUGCAAGUCGAGCGCGCGGCGGACGCGGGAGUAAUGUGUAGGGACUGCCCGAUAGAGGGGGGUACAUACUGGAAACGGUAGCUAUUACCCCACACUAUCGGAUAAAACAUAUGGGAUUAGCUAGUAGGUGAGGUAAUGGCUCACCUAGGCGACGAUCGCUCGAUGGUCUGAGAGGAUGAUCAGCCACACUGGGACUGAGACACGGCCCAGACUCCUACGGAGGCAGCAGUGGGGAAUAUUGCACAAUGGGCGCAAGCCUGAUGCAGCCAUGCCGCGUGUAUGAAGAAGGCCUUAGGGUUGUAAAGUACUUUCAGUCGGGAGGCGUUACCGGCAGAAGAAGCACCGGCUAACUCCGUGCCAGCAGCCGCGGUAAUAC
RNAcentral lists this ribosomal RNA (403 nucleotides) under uncultured bacterium. RNAcentral describes it as "partial 16S ribosomal RNA". It matches the Rfam family "Bacterial small subunit ribosomal RNA", at positions 30 to 526 of the family's 1533-position model. The record is from RNAcentral.